RNAcentral lists this ribosomal RNA (1480 nucleotides) under uncultured prokaryote. RNAcentral describes it as "partial 16S ribosomal RNA". It matches the Rfam family "Bacterial small subunit ribosomal RNA". The record is from RNAcentral.
AGAUUGAACGCUGGCGGCAGGCCUAACACAUGCAAGUCGAACGGUAACAGCAGAGCUUGCUCUGGCUGACGAGUGGCGGACGGGUGAGUAACGCAUGGGAAUCUACCUUGUAGUGGGGGAUAACUUGGGGAAACUCAAGCUAAUACCGCAUAACCUACGGGAGAAAGAGGGCCUAUACUUGUAAGCUCUUGCUAUUGGAUGAGCCUAUGUCGGAUUAGUUAGUUGGUGAGGUAAUGGCUUACCAAGACUACAAUCCGUAGCUGGUUUGAGAGGAUGAUCAGCCACACUGGGACUGAGACACGGCCCAGACUCCUACGGGAGGCAGCAGUAGGGAGUAUUGGACAAUGGGCGCAAGCCUGAUCCAGCAAUGCCGCGUGUGUGAAGAAGGCCUGCGGGUUGUAAAGCACUUUCAAUUGGAAGAAAGAUUUAGAGUUAAUACCUCUUAAUAUUGACGUUACCAAUAGAAGAAGCACCGGCUAACUCUGUGCCAGCAGCCGCGGUAAUACAGAGGGUGCGAGCGUUAAUCGGAAUUACUGGGCGUAAAGAGUACGUAGGUGGUUAAAUCAGUCGGAUGUGAAAGCCCCGGGCUCAACCUGGGAACUGCAUUUGAAACUGGUUAACUAGAGUGUGGUAGAGGAGAGUGGAAUUUCAGGUGUAGCGGUGAAAUGCGUAGAGAUCUGAAGGAACACCAGUGGCGAAGGCGGCUCUCUGGACCAACACUGACGCUGAGGUGCGAAAGCGUGGGUAGCAAACGGGAUUAGAUACCCCGGUAGUCCACGCCGUAAACGAUGUCAACUAACUGUUGGACGGGUUACCGUUUAGUGGUGCAGCUAACGCAAUAAGUUGACCGCCUGGGGAGUACGGCCGCAAGGCUAAAACUCAAAUGAAUUGACGGGGGCCCGCACAAGCGGUGGAGCAUGUGGUUUAAUUCGAUGCAACGCGAAGAACCUUACCUACCCUUGACAUCCAGAGAAUCUGUUAGAGAUAGUAGAGUGCCUUCGGGAAUUCUGUGACAGGUGCUGCAUGGCUGUCGUCAGCUCGUGUCGUGAGAUGUUGGGUUAAGUCCCGUAACGAGCGCAACCCUUAUCCUUAUUUGCCAGCACGUCAUGGUGGGAACUCUAAGGAGACUGCCGGUGACAAACCGGAGGAAGGUGGGGACGACGUCAAGUCAUCAUGGCCCUUACGACCUGGGCUACACACGUGCUACAAUGGGAGGUACAGAGGGAAGCGAAGCCGCGAGGUGAAGCUAAUCCCAGAAAACCUUUCGUAGUCCGGAUUGGAGUCUGCAACUCGACUCCAUGAAGUUGGAAUCGCUAGUAAUCGUGAAUCAGAAUGUCGCGGUGAAUACGUUCCCGGGCCUUGUACACACCGCCCGUCACACCAUGGGAGUGGAUUGCAAAAGAAGUGGGUAGACUAACCUUCGGGAGGUCGCUCACCACUUUGUGAUUCAUGACUGGGGUGAAGUCGUAACAAGGUAGCC